Molecule: non-coding RNA, 21 nt
Filed under: Caenorhabditis elegans
Lineage: Eukaryota; Metazoa; Nematoda; Chromadorea; Rhabditida; Rhabditidae
Source: RNAcentral
UAGUUUCUCUUUGUUGCAAAA